AUUUUAAGCAAGAUUUCCCAUAGUUCAGUAGUUGCCUGUCUGUGCAUCAUUUGGCCUUUUAAGAUUUUCUAAAAGGACAUCUCAAGGAAUAUGUUCUCUUUUUGCUCAUCUGACUUUAUAUACCAUACUCACUCGAUCCCCCUGACUUUGAUCAGACAUAAGGCUCCGGGUGAUAACUUGUCUACAGCUGCCACAGGCUCAUCUCUGUACUAAGAGCUGGUGAACUAACCUUACUGAAGGUACACACUGGUUUGUUUAUUUCCAGACCUGGACUGCUGUACUUUAUCACAGUGGAUGUUUUGUAUGGAAGAGAAUGGCUUAACAAAAGAGGAAAACAUGAUGGAGAUGAAUGGAUUUCUGCUGGAGGCGGUACACAGCAUUAUUUCAAAGAGUGGGGCAAGAACUAAAGAUGUUGGAAAAGAAGAAGAAGAAGAAGAAGAAGAAGAAGAAGAAGAAGAAGAAGAAGAAGAUAAAGAAGAAGAAAACACUUUCAUAUAU
Cyprinus carpio carpio is the source of this 498-nucleotide long non-coding RNA. Lineage: Eukaryota; Metazoa; Chordata; Actinopteri; Cypriniformes; Cyprinidae. The record is from Ensembl.